RNAcentral lists this ribosomal RNA (252 nucleotides) under uncultured Bacteroidales bacterium. RNAcentral describes it as "partial 16S ribosomal RNA". It matches the Rfam family "Bacterial small subunit ribosomal RNA", at positions 524 to 776 of the family's 1533-position model. Lineage: Bacteria; Pseudomonadati; Bacteroidota; Bacteroidia; Bacteroidales. The record is from RNAcentral.
UACGUAGGGGGCAAGCGUUAUCCGGAUUUACUGGGUGUAAAGGGAGCGUAGACGGUAAUGUAAGUCUGAUGUGAAAGCCCGGGGCUCAACCCCGGCGAGCCGUUGAAACUGGCUGUCUUGAGAUGUCGAGAGGUAUGCGGAAUGCGCAGUGUAGCGGUGAAAUGCAUAGAUAUCACGCAGAACUCCGAUUGCGAAGGCAGCAUACCGGCGCCCAACUGACGCUCAGGCACGAAAGCGUGGGUAUCGAACAGG